GUACUCACUUUGGCAGCACAUACAAUAAAAUUGGAAUGAUACAGAAAAGAUUAGGUAUGGUCCCUGCACAAGGAUGACAUGCAUAUUCAUGAAGUGUUCCAUAUUUUU
This 108-nucleotide small nuclear RNA is filed under the name Salvator merianae (Argentine black and white tegu). The record is from RNAcentral. Lineage: Eukaryota; Metazoa; Chordata; Lepidosauria; Squamata; Teiidae.